RNA transcript from Manihot esculenta (cassava), 1260 nucleotides. It is a transcript of the gene named probable WRKY transcription factor 50, with no coding region annotated. The transcript is spliced from 3 exons. The record is from RefSeq and is a predicted model, not a curated record. NCBI's taxonomy places the organism in Eukaryota, Viridiplantae, Streptophyta, Magnoliopsida, Malpighiales, Euphorbiaceae.
AUAACACGUAAAAAUAUUUUCUUCACGUAUCUGUCUUUAUAUUUUUUGGUACGAUAUUUAAUUUGUAAUUUACCAUGGAAAACUGUCCAAUCCCGUGAUGGAGGCUGAGAAAAAUAUUUAUAAUACUAUUCCUUUUUUCCCCAAGCAGGUUGCUUUUUCUUUAGUCUCUUUGAUUUCCUUUUGGCUAUGAGUGAAGUUUCUCCAGCUGCUACAGAGGCCUCCAUAUGAGAAGAGCUUUAUCUUCCUUCAAAUGCAAGUGUGAUCUAUAUUUACAUGUAAAGGGUGUAAGUCUGUUCUCCUUUUCUAUGUAUAGAUCUGAUCUAUAAACAACUAAAUAAUAUUUUUAUGGGUUUUUUUUCUUCCUAAUUCCCAUACUUAAAUGAAAUAUAUGUAAUAGAUCUAACCUAUUAAGGCCAAAAAUAUAUAUAAUUUUUUUCUUAUUCUUAUAUAUAUAUAUAUAUAUAUAUAUAUAUAUAUAUAAUAUGCUGAAAGCUGCCUCUUAUAAAUUCUCAUCCUCGUCCUAAAUCCUUUACAUUAUUAUCCAUUUUCUUCCCAACCAUAAAUAAUUAUAAUAUUUUAAUUUUUAUUCAUUAUUCAAUUAAUUCGUAUAUAUGAUUUAUUUCAUUUUUCUGGGCCAUAUAUAUUCAGAAUGGAAAUAUUGCAGUAAUUUAUGUUGUAGUUAGCAAUUAAUUAUGCAAAAGCCUACUGAUUCUAUUUACGUUUAAAUAAGGGAAACUGAGGAGGAAAAUAGAGAAGAACAGGCUGUGGAAGGGGAAAGCCAUAGAUUAGUGUUACCAGAAGAUGGGUACGAGUGGAGGAAAUAUGGCCAAAAGUUCAUAAAAAAUAUUUCAAAAUUCAGGAGCUAUUUCAAGUGCAGAAAGCAAAACUGCAAUGCGAAGAAGAGAGCAGAGUGGAGUGAGGAUAAGCCAGAUAAUGUGAGAAUAGUGUAUGAUGGGGUUCAUUCUCAUUCCUCUUCUUCUUCUUCUUCUUCUUCUUCGUCUUCUUCUGCUAACCAAUACAAUCUGUUAACCCAAGUUUCUGGAAAUCAACCCCCAACUUCACAAUAAUACUCUACAUGCAUAUGAAUUGGAUCAGAUUGGAAUUAAACUCUCUCAGGUAGAUUCUAAAAGAAUUAAAAAAAUGUAAAAAAGAGAUUGAAAAGUUGGGUACCUUUUGAAAUUUGUAAACCUAUCGGAUUUUGUUUGAAGGAUUUCUUGUAGCGCAGUUUACCGUUUGAAUGAAAUUGACCAAUUUUUAUUA